Molecule: ribosomal RNA, 460 nt
Filed under: uncultured bacterium
Lineage: Bacteria
Description: partial 16S ribosomal RNA
Rfam family: Bacterial small subunit ribosomal RNA
Source: RNAcentral
CCUACGGGCGGCAGCAGUGAGGAAUAUUGGUCAAUGGACGCAAGUCUGAACCAGCAAUGCCGCGUGCAGGAAGACGGCUCUAGGAGUUGUAAACUGCUUUUGUACGAGAGGAAACGCAGAUACGCGAAUCAGUCAGAAAGUAUCGAACGAAUAAGGAACGGCUAACUAAGGGACAGGAGCCGAGGUAAUACGGAGGAUUCAAGAGUUAACCGGAUUGAUUGGGUUGAAAGGGUGCGUAGGCGGUCGGAUAAGUUAGAGGUGAAAUCCCGAGGCUCAACUUCGGAAUGGCCUCUGAUACUGUUCGGCUAGAGAGUAGUUGCGGUAGGCGGAAUGUAUGGUGUAGCGGUGAAAUGCUUAGAGAUCAUACAGAACACCGAUUGCGAAGGCAGCUUACCAAGCUACUUCUGACGUUGAGGCACGAAAGCGUGGGGAGCAAACAGGAUUAGAUACCCGGGUAGUC